UACGAAGGGGACUAGCGUUGUUCGGAAUUACUGGGCGUAAAGCACACGUAGGCGGAUUUGUAAGUCAGGGGUGAAAUCCCGGGGCUCAACCUCGGAACUGCCUUUGAUACUGCAAAUCUCGAGUCCGAUAGAGGUGGGUGGAAUUCCUAGUGUAGAGGUGAAAUUCGUAGAUAUUAGGAAGAACACCGGUGGCGAAGGCGGCCCACUGGAUCGGUACUGACGCUGAGGUGCGAAAGCGUGGGGAGCAAACAGG
RNAcentral lists this ribosomal RNA (253 nucleotides) under uncultured bacterium. RNAcentral describes it as "partial 16S ribosomal RNA". It matches the Rfam family "Bacterial small subunit ribosomal RNA", at positions 524 to 776 of the family's 1533-position model. The record is from RNAcentral.